This 88-nucleotide transfer RNA is filed under the name Streptococcaceae bacterium. RNAcentral's name for it is "tRNA-Ser". It matches the Rfam family "tRNA". Rfam says of the family: Transfer RNA (tRNA) molecules are approximately 80 nucleotides in length. Their secondary structure includes four short double-helical elements and three loops (D, anti-codon, and T loops). Lineage: Bacteria; Bacillati; Bacillota; Bacilli; Lactobacillales; Streptococcaceae. The record is from RNAcentral.
GGAGAGGUGUCCGAGUGGUCGAAGGAGCACGCUUGGAAAGUGUGUAAACGUCAAAAGCGUUUCGGGGGUUCGAAUCCCCUCCUCUCCU